This 433-nucleotide ribosomal RNA is filed under the name uncultured bacterium. RNAcentral's name for it is "partial 16S ribosomal RNA". It matches the Rfam family "Bacterial small subunit ribosomal RNA", at positions 29 to 507 of the family's 1533-position model. The record is from RNAcentral.
AACGAACGCUGGCGGCAGGCCUAACACAUGCAAGUCGAGCGGACCCUUCGGGGUUAGCGGCGGACGGGGGGGUAACGCGUGGGAAUAUGCCCUUCUCUACGGAAUAGUCCUGGGAAACUGGGGUUAAUACCGUAUACGCCCUUUGGGGGAAAGAUUUAUCGGGGAAGGAUUAGCGCGCGUUGGAUUAGGUAGUUGGUGGGGUAAUGGCCUACCAAGCCGACGAUCCAUAGCUGGUUUGAGAGGAUGAUCAGCCACACUGGGAAUGAGACACGGCCCAGACUCCUACGGGAGGGAGCAGUGGGGAAUAUUAGACACUGGGGGCAACCCUGAUCUAGCCAUGCCGGGUGAGUGAUGAAGGCCUUAGGGUUGUAAAGCUCUUUCAGCUGGGAAGAUAAUGACGGUAACAGCAGAAGAAGCCCCGGCUAACUACGUG